AACGCAAGAUGGCGCCCGAGCGUAGCGGGCGGUUCAGAGUCGCUGGGUUUGCGGGCCCUGGCGCCGCGGGCGUAGGAGAGGCCGCGGAGACCUGAACGGCAGUUUCUCUUGGCAGCCGCGGCUCUGAGGGCUUCUGGGGACGGUACCGCCCAUCUAUUCAGAAGAGCUGAGGCCAAGCACCCGGGACUGGCUCAGGACAGGAGCAAAGCUAGGACCCUGCAGCCAUCUCUGAGGAGAGGCCAGCUGAGGUUGGACUACCCCAGCUCUUACCACAUGGUCUGGAUGGAGAUCGGCUUGAAGAUUCGACUCUGCCCACCAGACGUCACACUGAAGCCCCUGAGGGAGAGCAGUUGCCAUCUCUUACCCAUCUCCAUCGAGGUACACCUGGGUGUCACUCCAGAGAGGCAAGACCAGGCCCAGAGUGCAGCUGUAGGAGCUGGCAGGACACAGAGGGAAAGCCAUUAUUCCCCAGCACCUCACUUCCUUGCCCCCUCCCUUCCUCGCCCUGCUCCCACCUGCUAU
This is a long non-coding RNA of Eptesicus fuscus (big brown bat), 522 nucleotides long. RefSeq lists it as uncharacterized. The record is from RefSeq and is a predicted model, not a curated record. NCBI's taxonomy places the organism in Eukaryota, Metazoa, Chordata, Mammalia, Chiroptera, Vespertilionidae. The transcript has 4 exons.